Non-coding RNA from Caretta caretta (loggerhead turtle), 1701 nucleotides. The record is from RefSeq and is a predicted model, not a curated record. Lineage: Eukaryota; Metazoa; Chordata; Testudines; Cheloniidae.
AUCAUACGUCACUUUGGGCCGGUUUCCCCGACAGUCUAUAGCGGGGGUGGUCAAACUACGGCCCGCGGGCCAGGGGACCCUCCUGCCCGGCCCCUGAGCUGCUGGCCCGGGCGACUCGCCCACUUCCCCGCAGCCUCAGGCCAGGCGCUCUCCCCAGCAGCUGGCUACGCUGCACUGAGCCGCAUCGUGGGGGGGGGGCGUCUCCAUCCCACUCCCCGAUGCGCCUCAUAUGGAUAAUUCCGUGUCGGUGUCCCCGGAUCUCGCGGCGUGGCGUAUUUAAGGAGGACCCCACGCCCAGCCCGAGCCAUAAGCCCGGGAGGUAGCGACACAAGAGCGGAGAGCGCUGCGGGAUCCUGGCCGGCUGGAGCCUCUGCUCUUCGCCCGCUCCCCAGGGACAGACAGCUGGGUGCGUUUCCCUUCGGUGUUGCUGACCUGCCCAGAUGAGCGGGGCUGCAGCCGCGGGACCCUCUCCCCGAGCCUGGCGGCUCCCAGCGGGGCAGCCCGUCCCCUCGCUGCUCCGUCUGCCUGCCAGCCGGGUUCGCUCUGAGCCCGCUCCAGGGGACACGAGCCUGGGCGAGUUGCGAGCCAGGAUCCAGGCACCGGCUGCCCACGGAGCGAUCAGGGGCUGGGGAUCUCCACCAGCAGGUUUCCAAUCGGAGGAGGAGGAGACUGCACGUAUCUGAACGGUCGGAGUGCGGUCAGCAGCUUGCGAUGCACCAGUGAGAGACCCUGGAUCUGCACCAAACCCGAUGCAUUUACACAGGCACAGGAGGCUGCCGUGGACGGGGGCUGGUAACAAGAGUAUUAUGGAAUCUAGCCCUGGAAAAGCCGGAGUGUGAUUUCUUGUGACCAUCACAUCUGAGCAAUUCCGGAAUAUCGGGCAAUGCUCUGCGCAUCACUGGGCAGAGCACUGUGGACUCAGGUAAAACCCAGAGAUGCUAUUUGCACAUCUUGUCGUCCCGUCCCCCCCGCGCGCCGUCUCUUUUUCUGCCAGCGGAACGGCUCAAAUCCAGCCUUUCUAACCUACCUCAGCUGGACCAGGAGCUCUGCCGAACUGAGCCAAGGCACCAGCCUCAGCUUUCGCUGCCCUGACAUUCCCCCACAGAAGCUUUUUACUACAGAAAAUUAUCUAUGGAAUCUUUGAAAAAUAUUCCUCAUUCCCAUUUUAUGGUCUGGAAUAGAGCUGAGGGGGGAUGUUCUCCAUUCCCCCCCUCCCCCCAGCAACUUUUUAACAAGAUUUUUUUAUGGGUCAGUUUUUGGGGUGUUUUGAAAACCCAAUUGAUUUUGAAGUUUGCAGGUUUACACACCAGUUCCUGGUUUUUGUUGCCAGAUAUUGCUUUGGAUGAAAGAAUGAACGUUUUAAACUAGUUUUAAUUUUCCAUUUUUAAAAAGCACUGCACCUGCCAAGGGAGUAGGACCCCUGUUACACUCCUCUUGGGACACCUAGGGCCUGGAACGUAGGAGUAAGAGGAGAAAUGUCUGUUCUCUCCCUUCCUGGAGCCCAGUGGGUUUGAAAAGGGCUGGGAGGGGGUAGGUGUGACACAGACAGACCAGGUGCCAGGUCAUGCCAAAGUCCCUAUGUCUGCUAUAGAUGCUUCUGUUACACAACUAAGCUACAAAGUUUCAAAAGGUAUGUAUGUUCACCAGCUUUAGCCUUGUAAAUAAAUCUUAUUUCCUUUUUAAUAAAGUGUCAUAUAAUAA